GGGGGGAGCUGAGCGCUGAGACCUAGAGCUAAAGCCGGGAGACUGAGAAAAUGCAGACCACCGGGGCACUACUCAUUUCUCCGGCUCUGAUCCUGGCUGUUGUACCAGGGAUCUAAUCAGGCCUGUGUCUGCCUCCCUCUUGAGUAGGCCAGAGAUCCCAGCUAAACAGCCAUCCUACAGCAGCAACCCGCUCCAGGUGGCCCGGCGGGAGUUCCAGACCAGUCUUUUCUCCCGGGACAUUGACACAGCAGCCAAGUUUAUUGGCACUGGGGCUGCCACAGUUGGUGUGGCUGGUUCAGGGGCUGGCAUUGGAACAGUGUUUGGCAGCUUGAUCAUUGGCUAUGCCAGGAACCCGUCUCUCAAGCAGCAGCUCUUCUCCUAUGCCAUCCUGGGCUUUGCCCUGUCUGAGGCCAUGGGGCUCUUCUGUUUGAUGGUGGCCUUCCUCAUCCUCUUGGACAUGUGAAGUUCCAUGAGGGUCACCUACC
RNA transcript from Odobenus rosmarus divergens (Pacific walrus), 485 nucleotides. It is a transcript of the gene named ATP synthase lipid-binding protein, mitochondrial-like, with no coding region annotated. Lineage: Eukaryota; Metazoa; Chordata; Mammalia; Carnivora; Odobenidae. The record is from RefSeq and is a predicted model, not a curated record. The transcript has a single exon.